This 1556-nucleotide long non-coding RNA is filed under the name Homo sapiens (human). RNAcentral describes it as "HSALNT0009602". The record is from RNAcentral. Lineage: Eukaryota; Metazoa; Chordata; Mammalia; Primates; Hominidae.
CCAUCAGAUUUCAUGAGACUUUUUCACUACCAUAUGAACAGUAUGGGGGACACCGCCCCCAUGAUUCAAUUAUCUCCCACCAGGUCCUUCCCACAAUACAUGGGAAUUAUGGGAGCUAAAAUUCAAGAUGAUAUUUGGGUGGGGACACAGACAAAUUAUAUAAUCUUUAUUGAGGUUUAAUUUACAUCUUAAGAUUCACUUAGGUGAACAAUUCAAUGAUUACUAUUAAAUUGACAGAGUUGUACAAUCCUUAACACAAUACAGGUUUUAGAAUAUUUCCAUCAUUCCAGAAUAUCCCUCAUACCCAUUUAUAGUCACUACUGACUCCUACCUCCAAGAACCAGGCAAAUGCUCAUCUGCUUUCUAUGUCUAUAGAUUUGUCAUUUCUGGACAUUUCACAUAAAUGGAAUCAUAGAAUAUGUAGUCAUUUGCAUCUGGUUUGUUUAAUCAGGCAUCAGGUUUUUUAGAUUUACCCAUGCUGCAGUAUGUAUCCAUAGCAUAUUUGUUUGUAAUGUAAAAUAGUAUUCCAUGGUAUGGAUAUAACAUCAUUGGCUUAUCUUUUCACCAAUUGAUGGGCAUUCAGAUUGUUUCUAUUUUUUGGUUAAUAUGACUAAUGCUGCCACAAGCAUUCACAUGCAAGUCUUUACACAGACAUGUUUUCAUUUCUCUUGGGUAGAUAUUUAGGGAUAGAAUUCUUGGGUCAUAUGGUAAAUUUAUGCUUAUCUGCUGAAGAAAUUGUCAAGCUAUUGUGAAAAGCAGCUGCAUGAUUUUACAAUCCCAUCAACAACGUCUAGGGUUCUAGUUUCUCCUAAGGAGUUUUAACGAGACGCAUAAUAUGGCUAGAUUUGUGCUUUAGGUAAAUCAAUCUGGUAGCUACUAAAAAUGAGACUGAAAAUAAUGAGCCUGUUUAGGAAGAUGUUGCAAUAGUCUAGCUGAGAUCUCUACUACGAUUCCCAACUAGACCAUUGGAGGAGAAGAUUAUCUCAGAAGAAGAACAAUGCUGCUGAAUAAGAACAGGUGAUUUGCUUCCAUCAGUUGCUCAGCCUUGGGAACGUGACUCACGGUGGUGUGAGGACAAAGCAGGUACCUGUCCGCCAGCCAGAUUAGCUGAGGAAAAUACACUUCAGACUCAACAUAACCAAUACCUGCCUUUCAAGGAAAACUCAUAUGGGGCUCACUGAUGAAACAAAGCGAGUUUGCAAAAAAAGAUUCGACAUAGUCAAUUCUUUGUACUCUUCAGUGAUGGUAGCUGCCUUAGUGGAAAAUGUGGAAAAUUACAGAUUGGGGCCUAAUCAGUUACAUAAAAAAAGAAAGAAGAGAGGAGACAAGAGAAGAAAAGAGAAGAGAAGAGAAGAGAAGAGAAGAGAAGAGAAGAGAAGAGAAGAGAAGAGAAGAGAAGAGAAAAGAAAGGAAAAGAAAAGAAAACAAAAGAAAGGAAAUUACCACGAAACCAGUCCUGGAAAAUGUAAAAUGUUACUUGCAUCAUCAUGUGAAAAAGCUCAAAAGAUGGAAAAAUAUUUUCUAAGUACAUUAUUUGGACAUAAGUAUCUUCCAAU